UAAGAAUGUACGAGGUAUUACAAUAUCUCCCCCUUGAGAACAUUCAUCCUCGAAUGAGACUAGUCAAACUGAGGAUACUGAGGAACUAUACUAUAUCUGGCAUGCAUAAAUGAAAGCAUGACUAAAAUGAUUUACAAAAUCAAGAAUUAACAAGAAAAUGACUAUAUAAAUCUGAGACUUAGAAUGGAAAGAGAUGAUCUGAGGAAACUUGUCACCUCACACUGAAUCUGAA
Molecule: long non-coding RNA, 232 nt
Filed under: Capsicum annuum
Lineage: Eukaryota; Viridiplantae; Streptophyta; Magnoliopsida; Solanales; Solanaceae
Description: long non-coding RNA (CANN_LNC005206)
Source: RNAcentral